This is a long non-coding RNA of Setaria italica (foxtail millet), 212 nucleotides long. RefSeq lists it as uncharacterized. The record is from RefSeq and is a predicted model, not a curated record. Lineage: Eukaryota; Viridiplantae; Streptophyta; Magnoliopsida; Poales; Poaceae. The transcript has 2 exons.
AGGGCCUAAACAGAGAUAAAGCAUUCCAUGGGUACUCAGUAAGAAAUUUGUGCCAAUAACAAAAUUGGGAAAGUGGUACAAAGAAGUUUGUAAUGCCAUACAAAAUAGGAAAAAGAAGUAUUCCCUCCGUUUCAAAAUGUAGGGAGUAGGUCUUUAAUGAAAGGGGUCAAUACAAGAAACUGGAAUCCAUUCAGUCACUGUUUUUCAAAUGA